CUUCCAGCACCAACUUUUUUCUCCCAAACUACCUCAUAGAAAGAGAUUCCGCCAAGUCCACUUCCAAUUUCAGCGCCCAAAUCAUAAGUCCCAUUGAAACUUCCUCUCAAAGUACCACCAUCUAUAAGCUUAGUUUGCUCAUGAUACAAUAUGGGUUGAUUCAUACACCCAGUUCCAAAGCAAGGAAACCCUCCUGAACUAAAAGGGGGUACCUUUUUCCCAUUCUGAGGACACAAACCAGACUUUGUGUCAUAGUUACCAUUUUUAAGCAUAACCAUCCAAAACUGCCAUGGAUAUGGCUUAUCAUCAACUUCACAUAAAGAACCCAGAUAAAG
RNAcentral lists this unclassified non-coding RNA (335 nucleotides) under Hevea brasiliensis (rubber tree). Lineage: Eukaryota; Viridiplantae; Streptophyta; Magnoliopsida; Malpighiales; Euphorbiaceae. The record is from RNAcentral.